GGGGGGAGCAAGCGUUGUUCGGAAUCACUGGGCGUAAAGGGCGCGUAGGCGGCCGAGUAAGUCGCGUGUGAAAACGGCCGGGGCUCAACCCCGUGUACUGCAUGCGAUACUGCAUGGCUUGAGAAAGGUAGAGGUGAGCGGAAUUCCCGGUGUAGCGGUGGAAUGCGUAGAUAUCGGGAAGAACACCAGUGGCGAAGGCGGCUCGCUGGGCCUUUUCUGACGCUGAAGCGCGAAAGCUGGGGAGCAAACAGGAUUAGAUACCCUGGUAGUCCACGCCGUAAACGCUGGGUACUAGGUGUUGGGAGAUUGACCCUUUCAGUGCCGACGCUAACGCAUUAAGUACCCCGCCUGGGGAGUACGGCCCGCAAGGCUG
Molecule: ribosomal RNA, 373 nt
Filed under: uncultured organism
Description: partial 16S ribosomal RNA
Rfam family: Bacterial small subunit ribosomal RNA
Source: RNAcentral